RNAcentral lists this ribosomal RNA (253 nucleotides) under uncultured bacterium. Its description in RNAcentral is "partial 16S ribosomal RNA". It matches the Rfam family "Bacterial small subunit ribosomal RNA", at positions 524 to 776 of the family's 1533-position model. The record is from RNAcentral.
UACAGAGGGUGCUAGCGUUGUUCGGAAUCAUUGGGCGUAAAGGGCGCGUAGGCGGUGUGUCAAGUCAGAUGUGAAAGCCCCGGGCUCAACCUGGGAACUGCAUUUGAAACUGGCGGGCUUGAGUGUGGCAGAGGGGGGUGGAAUUCCGCGUGUAGCAGUGAAAUGCGUAGAGAUGCGGAGGAACACCGAUGGCGAAGGCAGCCCCCUGGGCCAACACUGACGCUCAGGCACGAAAGCGUGGGGAGCAAACAGG